CAUCGCCUCUUGCAUAACCACAGUAUAAGAGGUCCCGCCUGCCCAGUGACGACUUAGUUCAACGGCCGCGGUAUUUUGACCGUGCAAAGGUAGCGUAAUCACUUGUCUUUUAAAUGAAGACCUGUAUGAAUGGCAUAACGAGGGCUUAACUGUCUCCUUCCCCCGGUCAAUGAAAUUGAUCUCCCCGUGCAGAAGCGGGGAUAAAACCAUAAGACGAGAAGACCCUAUGGAGCUUUAGACACACAGGUGGCCCAUGUCAAAUAACCCCCGCUAAGGGCCUGAACUAAGUGGAACCUGCCUUGAUGUCUUCGGUUGGGGCGACCAUGGGGAAUACAAAACCCCCACGUGGAAGGGGAGCACACCCCUAAGUUACUUCUUCUCCCGCAAGCCAGAGCAACGGCUCUAACCAGCAGAAAUUCUGACCAAACUGAUCCGGUAAUACCGAUCAACGAACCAAGUUACCCUAGGGAUAACAGCGCAAUCCCCUUUUAGAGCCCAUAUCGACAAGGGGGUUUACGACCUCGAUGUUGGAUCAGGACAUCCUAAUGGUGCAGCCGCUAUUAAGGGUUCGUUUGUUCAACGAUUAAAGUCCUA
RNAcentral lists this ribosomal RNA (594 nucleotides) under Hippoglossoides elassodon (flathead sole). Its description in RNAcentral is "partial 16S ribosomal RNA". It matches the Rfam family "Bacterial large subunit ribosomal RNA", at positions 1814 to 2598 of the family's 2925-position model. Lineage: Eukaryota; Metazoa; Chordata; Actinopteri; Pleuronectiformes; Pleuronectidae. The record is from RNAcentral.